RNAcentral lists this long non-coding RNA (2026 nucleotides) under Oncorhynchus kisutch (coho salmon). Its description in RNAcentral is "lncRNA (ENSOKIG00005006706.1)". The record is from RNAcentral. Lineage: Eukaryota; Metazoa; Chordata; Actinopteri; Salmoniformes; Salmonidae.
AGAGAAGUGCCUGCAUGUAAUGUGUAUCUAGGUUCUAGGCCAUAUACAUGUGUUAUUAAUGCUUUAUAAGAUAGUUCAUUUAAAGUGAACCAUUGUGAUGGCAUGGGAUUCUUUAUCUUUCUGUGUUUCUGUAGGAACACUUGCCAGUGAGAGAGAGAGCAGGGCAGGACAUCGGAGGAAACCACACCAUGUAAGAUACAUAAAGUUUCUGGCAUCAUUUCGAAGUAUACAAAAUAAAUGUAUGCCAAAAGGCUAUAUGCAUUAAUCAUCCAUUGUUUAUCCUUACACUAACAUUAUAACAUUAUGGUGAACAAUAAAAAAUGUAAAUCCACUUCGUCCUAAUUUUUUACCAUUAUGUUUAUGACUCAGGGGCUUUUUUUCCGUUCUGUCAGAUGGGCCGUCCUUUGUGGAGAUCAGUGGGGUGAACACAGUGACGGUGGAGGUUCCCUAUGGCUUCCAGUGCUCAGCCAAUUGCUUCCCAACUUGCACCUUCACCUGGACCAGAGGAGAGCUCACCACCCAGGGCCCACAGCUCAACCUCCAGCUGAAGGAGCAGGUUCCACCACAGGUCCUGAUCUGUAUGCCUACAAACCCCACCACUGGGAAGUCCGUGACAGUCAGCAAAACAGUCAACGUGACGUCUGGACCGUCCAAUAUAAAGAUCACAGGUCCUGAUAUACUGUCCAGUGGAGUGACGUCCAACUUUUCCUGCUCUGCUGAUUGCUACCCGUCCUGCUCCUACACCUGGACAAUUAGUUCUGAAGCACAAAGCACAGUGACCACCAAAUAUGGUCAAACCAUCUCUGUCACACCUGACUCCUGGGAGAUUGCAGAGGAAUUGAUCUGUGAUGCUCAGGACACUGUCUCACUCCUCUACAUCUCAACCUAUGUCACACCUUACGUGGCCCGUGGACCGGGGGCCAUUUUGAUCACGGGUGCCAGCUCAGUGACAGUAGGAGACACUUACAACUUUGUGUGCUUUGUUGACUGCACCCCCUCCUGUAACUUUACCUGGACAUUCAAUGGAAAGAUCUUCAAUGGUGACGAGAUCCAGUUGCCAAUCUUCCAUAAGGGCGAUAAGCCCAUGGUUGGCAGUAAACUGGUGGUUACGGUUGAUGAUUACAGGCACAAUGAGGCACUGACGUGUGAGGCCAAGAAUGUUGCCUCAGGGGUCACUGCUGUUAGCACCAAGAUCCUGAGCGUCACUGAUCCUAUCUCUGUACAGCCGGUGUCCCAGGACAAGCCCUUGGCACACCAGCCCUUCUCACUGCAGUGUGUGGGCUCUCAGAAUCCAGCCUCCAUUUUGUGGUUAAAAAAUGGCCUCCCUGUAGCUGUGUCCGGCAGGGUCAGUCUCUCCCCCAACAAUAUCACUAUGUCUUUUAGUCCUCUGCUCCAGUCGGAUGGUGGGCUGUACCAAUGCAUUGUUUCUCAGGGGGGAGCACUCAUCAAAGGGGUUGGGUACCAACUGAAUGUCAAUUAUGGACCACUUCAAGCUGUUAUCAUCCAAUCUGGCAAAGGCCCAGUAGGUAAAGUCCUGUAUCUCCUGCCUGGAUCAAAGACAGCCCUUCAGUGUUCGGCCCUGUGCUACCCCACCUGUACCUACACCUGGAUAUACAAGGGGAGGCUGGCAGAGAUGAACGCCUCCUUCUCCCUCACACCUGAGACAACCAUGGACGGAGGACCCCUGAGCUGUGUGGCUUACAACUCAGUAACCAAUGACAACAGCACUGCCAAUACCUCAGUUGUGUUACUUGAUGGACCAUCUAAUGUGACCAUCUCAGGACCAGGUGCCCUAGAGGUAGGGGUCAAGGCCAGUUUCAAGUGUAUUGCCCAGUGCUCUCCCUCUUGCAGCUACACCUGGAGUGUGUAUGGUCGGACCAUGCACGGCAGUGUGGUUGAUAUAACCAUCAACCGUUACGUGGCCACUGAGUCUUUCAGCUGCGAGGCACACAACACGAUCACCGGGAAGACAGCAACAGCCAAUGAGACACUCAGUGUCACAGAUUCUCACUGGUGUGGAUGUUGA